RNAcentral lists this ribosomal RNA (497 nucleotides) under uncultured bacterium. Its description in RNAcentral is "partial 16S ribosomal RNA". It matches the Rfam family "Bacterial small subunit ribosomal RNA", at positions 28 to 507 of the family's 1533-position model. The record is from RNAcentral.
GAUGAACGCUGGCGGCGUGCCUAAUACAUGCAAGUCGAGCGAACGGACGAGAAGCUUGCUUCUCUGAUGUUAGCGGCGGACGUGUGAGUAACACGUGGAUAACCUACCUAUAAGACUGGGAUAACUUCGGGAAACCGGAGCUAAUACCGGAUGAUAUUUUGAACCGCAUGGUUCAAAAGUGAAAGACGGUCUUGCUGUCACUUAUAGAUGGAUCCGCGCUGCAUUAGCUAGUUGGUAAGGUAAUGGCUUACCAAGGCAACGAUGCAUAGCCGACCUGAGAGGGUGAUCGGCCACACUGGAACUGAGACACGGUCCAGACUCCUACGGGAGGCAGCAGUAGGGAAUCUUCCGCAAUGGGCGAAAGCCUGACGGAGCAACGCCGCGUGAGUGAUGAAGGUCUUCGGAUCGUAAAACUCUGUUAUUAGGGAAGAACAUAUGUGUAAGUAACUGUGCACAUCUUGACGGUACCUAAUCAGAAAGCCACGGCUAACUACGUG